ACGAACGCUGGCGGCAUGCCUAACACCUGCAAGUCGAACGAGACCUUCGGGUCUAGUGGCGCCCGGGUGCGUCACGCGUGGGAACCUGCCCUUAGGUUCGGAAUAACUCCCCGAAAGGGGUGCUAAUACCGGAUAAUGUCUUCGGACCAAAGAUUUAUCGCCUUUGGAUGGGCCCGCGUUGGAUUAGCUAGUUGGUAGGGUAAAAGCCUACCAAGGCGACGAUCCAUAGCUGGUCUGAGAGGAUGAUCAGCCACACUGGGACUGAGACACGGCCCAGACUCCUACGGGAGGCAGCAGUGGGGAAUAUUGGACAAUGGGCGAAAGCCUGAUCCAGCAAUGCCGCGUGAGUGAUGAAGGCCUUAGGGUUGUAAAGCUCUUUUACCCGGGAUGAUAAUGACAGUACCGGGAGAAUAAGCUCCGGCUAACUCCGUG
RNAcentral lists this ribosomal RNA (432 nucleotides) under uncultured bacterium. RNAcentral describes it as "partial 16S ribosomal RNA". It matches the Rfam family "Bacterial small subunit ribosomal RNA", at positions 29 to 507 of the family's 1533-position model. The record is from RNAcentral.